UAGGGAAUUUUCGUCAAUGGGGGGAACCCUGAACGAGCAAUGCCGCGUGUGUGAAGAAGGUCUUCGGAUCGUAAAGCACUGUUGUAAGUGAAGAAUGCCACAUAGAGGAAAUGCUAUGUGGGUGACGGUAGCUUACCAGAAAGCCACGGCUAACUACGUGCCAGCAGCCGCGGUAAUACGUAGGUGGCAAGCGUUAUCCGGAAUCAUUGGGCGUAAAGGGUGCGUAGGUGGCACGAUAAGUCUGAAGUAAAAGGCAACAGCUCAACUGUUGUAUGCUUUGGAAACUGUCGAGCUAGAGUGCAGAAGAGGGCGAUGGAAUUCCAUGUGUAGCGGUGAAAUGCGUAGAUAUUAGGAGGAACACCAGUGGCGAAGGCGGCUUACUGGACGGUAACUGACGUUGAGGCUCGAAAGCGUGGGGGAGCAAACAGGAUUAGAUACC
RNAcentral lists this ribosomal RNA (439 nucleotides) under uncultured bacterium. RNAcentral's name for it is "bacterial SSU rRNA". It matches the Rfam family "Bacterial small subunit ribosomal RNA", at positions 355 to 786 of the family's 1533-position model. The record is from RNAcentral.